This 449-nucleotide ribosomal RNA is filed under the name uncultured bacterium. RNAcentral describes it as "partial 16S ribosomal RNA". It matches the Rfam family "Bacterial small subunit ribosomal RNA", at positions 29 to 523 of the family's 1533-position model. The record is from RNAcentral.
AGCGAACGCUGGCGGCAGGCCUAACACAUGCAAGUCGAACGAAGUCUUCGGACUUAGUGGCGGACGGGUGAGUAACACGUGGGAACGUGCCUUUAGGUUCGGAAUAACUCAGGGAAACUUGUGCUAAUACCGAAUGUGCCCUUCGGGGGAAAGAUUUAUCGCCUUUAGAGCGGCCCGCGUCUGAUUAGCUCGUUGGUGGGGUAAUGGCCCACCAAGGCUACGAUCAGUAGCUGGUCUGAGAGUAUGACCAGCCACAUUGGGACUGAGACACGGCCCAAACUCCUACGGGAGGCAGCAGUGGGGAAUCUUGCGCAAUGGGCGAAAGCCUGACGCAGCCAUGCCGCGUGGAUGAUGAAGGUCUUAGGAUUGUAAAAUCCUUUCACCGGUGAAGAUAAUGACUGUAGCCGGAGAAGAAGCCCCGGCUAACUUCGUGCCAGCCGCCGCGGUAC